UUGUUCUUGUUCUUGUUCUUCUUCUUAUUGUUGUUCUUGUUGUUGUUGUUGUUGUUGUUGUUCUUGUUGUUGUUCUUGUUGUUGUUAUUAUUGUUGUUUUUGUUUUUGUUGUUCUUGUUCUUGUUUAGUUUUUGUUGUUCUUGUUGUUCUUGUUUUUCUUGCUAUUGUUAUUGUUGUUGUUCUUGUUCUUGUUCUUGUUCUUGUUCUUGUUCUUGUUCUUGUUGUUG
This 227-nucleotide long non-coding RNA is filed under the name Lathyrus oleraceus (garden pea). RNAcentral's name for it is "Pisum sativum (pea) long non-coding RNA (PSAT_LNC023446)". Lineage: Eukaryota; Viridiplantae; Streptophyta; Magnoliopsida; Fabales; Fabaceae. The record is from RNAcentral.